GAUGGACGCUGGCGGCGUGCCUAAUACAUGCAAGUCGAGCGAACAGACGAGGAGCUUGCUCCUCUGACGUUAGCGGCGGACGGGUGAGUAACACGUGGAUAACCUACCUAUAAGACUGGUAUAACUUCGGGAAACCGGAGCUAAUACCGGAUAAUAUAUUGAACCGCAUGGUUCAAUAGUGAAAGACGGUUUUGCUGUCACUUAUAGAUGGAUCCGCGCCGCAUUAGCUAGUUGGUAAGGUAACGGCUUACCAAGGCGACGAUGCGUAGCCGACCUGAGAGGGUGAUAGGCCACACUGGAACUGAGACACGGUCCAGACUCCUACGGGAGGCAGCAGUAGGGAAUCUUCCGCAAUGGGCGAAAGCCUGACGGAGCAACGCCGCGUGAGUGAUGAAGGUCUUCGGAUCGUAAAACUCUGUUAUUAGGGAAGAACAAAUGUGUAAGUAACUAUGCACGUCUUGACGGUACCUAAUCAGAAAGCCACGGCUAACUACGUG
Molecule: ribosomal RNA, 497 nt
Filed under: uncultured bacterium
Lineage: Bacteria
Description: partial 16S ribosomal RNA
Rfam family: Bacterial small subunit ribosomal RNA
Source: RNAcentral